GGUUAAGUUAGGGGAACAUGGAGAAAAUUGACGUUGAAUUUGAGGGAUGUUUUCAAAUUUUUUUCUUGGUGGGAGACCGGGUCGUGCACCUUGCCUGGGGAAAACGGAGAUUGUGAGAGAACGGAAGGAGAUGGGAUGAUGGUUAAGGUAGCGUUGGAAAGUAGAAAGGUUGGGCUAUUUUUUGGUAUGAGGUGAGCUAGGUUAAGUUAGGGGAAUGUGGAGAAAAUUGACGUUGAAGUUGAGGGAUGUUUUCAAUUUUUUUUUCUUGGUGGGACGGUAAGCCAUGCACCUUGCUUGGGGAAAACGGAGAUUGUGAGAGAAUGGAUGGAGAUGGGAUGAUGGUUAAGGUAGCGUUGGAAAGUAGAAAGGUUGGGCUAUUUUUUGGUGUAAGGUGAGCUAGGUAAAGUUGGAGGAAAGUGGAGAAAAUUGACGUUGAAUUUGAGGGAUGCUUGAAUUUUUUUUUCUUGGUGGGAGACCGAGCCAUGCACCUUGCCUGGGGAAAACGGAGAUUGUGGGAAAACGGAAAGAGGUAAAGAGAAUCCGAAAGUAGCGUUAGAAAGUAGAAAGGUCAAGCUAUUUUUUGGUGUAAGGCGAGCUAGGUUAAGUUAGCGGAAAGUGGAGAAAAUUGAGGUUGAAUUUGAGGGAUUUUUCAAUUUUUUUUUCUUGGUGGGAGUGUGAGCCAUGCACC
Molecule: long non-coding RNA, 688 nt
Organism: Eriocheir sinensis (Chinese mitten crab)
Lineage: Eukaryota; Metazoa; Arthropoda; Malacostraca; Decapoda; Varunidae
Exons: 4
Source: RefSeq, a predicted model, not a curated record